Molecule: ribosomal RNA, 435 nt
Filed under: Heterolepisma sp. gbs003750
Lineage: Eukaryota; Metazoa; Arthropoda; Insecta; Zygentoma; Lepismatidae
Description: eukaryotic LSU rRNA
Rfam family: Eukaryotic large subunit ribosomal RNA
Source: RNAcentral
CUUGACUCUAGUCUGGCACUGUGAGGAGACAUUAGAGGUGUAGCAUAAGUGGGAGAUCCGCUUGCGGGUCGACAGUGAAAUACCACUACUUUGAUCGUUUCCUCACUUACUUGGUGAGGACGAAAGCGUGUACGGUUCCCUGUGUUCCGUGCACGGUAUUCUCGAGCCAAGGCUGGGAGUCUCAGGAUUCCCGGCCGAUCGUAUCCAAGGACACUGCCAGGCCGGGAGUUUGACUGGGGCGGUACAUCUGUCAAAGAAUAACGCAGGUGUCCUAAGGCCAGCUCAGCGAGGACAGAAACCUCGCGUAGAGCAAAAGGGCAAAAGCUGGCUUGAUCCCGAUGUUCAGUAAGCAUAGGGACUGCGAAAGCACGGCCCAUCGAUCCUUUUGACUUGGAGAGUUUCCAGCAAGAGGUGUCAGAAAAGUUACCACAGGGA